Molecule: unclassified non-coding RNA, 523 nt
Filed under: uncultured Alphaproteobacteria bacterium
Lineage: Bacteria; Pseudomonadati; Pseudomonadota; Alphaproteobacteria
Description: partial 16S-23S ribosomal RNA intergenic spacer
Rfam family: tRNA (bases 112-185)
Source: RNAcentral
CCUCCUUUCUAAAGGAAAAAAAACUUCGAUUGAAGUGUACUUUCGAAGUAAGCCCACCGUCUAUUCAUUUUGUCUUUUUUAAUUCUAACGAAUUAAUUAAGGGCAUUAAUUGGGCGUGUAGCUCAGUUGGUUAGAGCGCGCGCUUGAUAAGCGUGAGGUCGGAGGUUCAAGUCCUCCCUCGCCCACCAACUUGUUGGGGGAUUAGCUCAGCUGGGAGAGCGCCUGAUUUGCAUUCAGGAGGUCAGCGGUUCGAUCCCGCUAUCCUCCACCAACAUCUUUAAAAUCGUAAAUAUGAUAGCUGAUAACACAAACGCAAAUAACUCUGCACGAGUUAUUUGUUAAUAAGAAAUAAGAAACAACCAAAAACUAACUACNAAUAAUAAAGUUAAUUCACAAUAAUUUUUCACUGUGUAUUAAUAAUUCAAGCGCGUAAGAGCAUUUGGUGGAUGCCUUGGCAUAAAGAGGCGAUGAAGGACGUGAUAAACUGCGAUAAGCUCGGGCUUGCUGUCAAUAAGCUUACCGA